CACUAGUGAUUGCACAAGCGGUGGAGCAUGUGGUUUAAUUCGAUGGUAACCGAAGAACCUUACCAGGGAUUGACAUGUAACUGAAGGUAGAGAAAUCUACUGGCCUGCUGCAAAGCGGGAGGUUACACAGGUGGUGCACGGCCGUCGUCAGCUCGUGCCGUGAGGUGUUGGGUUAAGUCCCGCAACGAGCGCAACCCCUACGAUUAGUUACUAACGCGGAAAGGCGAGGACUCUAAUCGGACUGCCGCCGACGAGGCGGAGGAAGGAGGGGAUGACGUCAGGUAAGCGUGCCCCUUAUACUCUGGGCGACACACGUGCUACAAUGGAGGGGACAAAGGGAAGCGAAGCCGAGAGGUGGAGCGGAUCCUAAAAAAACUCUCCGAAAUACGGAUUGUAGGCUGCAACCCGCCUACAUGAAGUCGGAAUCGCUAGUAAUCGCAGGUCAGCCAAACUGCGGUGAAUACGUUCCCGGGCAAUCGAAUUCCC
Molecule: ribosomal RNA, 486 nt
Filed under: uncultured bacterium
Lineage: Bacteria
Description: bacterial SSU rRNA
Rfam family: Bacterial small subunit ribosomal RNA
Source: RNAcentral